UGCGGGGGGGGCAAGCGUUGUUCGGAAUUACUGGGCGUAAAGGGCUCGUAGGCGGCCAACUAAGUCAGACGUGAAAUCCCCAGGCUCAACCUGGGAACUGCGUCUGAUACUGGAUGGCUUGAAUUCGGGAGAGGGAUGCAGAAUUCCAGGUGUAGCGGUGAAAUGCGUAGAUAUCUGGAGGAAUACCGGUGGCGAAGGCGGCAUCCUGGACCGACAUUGACGCUGAUGAGUGAAAGCUAGGGGAGCAAACGGG
Molecule: ribosomal RNA, 253 nt
Filed under: uncultured bacterium
Lineage: Bacteria
Description: partial 16S ribosomal RNA
Rfam family: Bacterial small subunit ribosomal RNA
Source: RNAcentral